GUCUUGAUAAACAGUGGGCAGAGAGAUGAAGGCCCUGUUCCCCGGAUAACUUGCUGUGCAGGAGGAGCACCUCUCCCUCCCUGGCUCACUUUCCUUUCUCUCUCCUCAGCUCUCCGCAUUUGUUUUUCACAUUCUCCAAAGUAUUAUACUUUCUUCCUUUUUCAUACACCUUUGAUAUUUCUAUUUCAUCUCGGCCCUGAUACAUCCAGGUUUUUAGCUAAAAGUUUCUGUGUGCAUGUGUGUGUUUUAUUUCAUCAAGCAGAAUUUAGUCUAUGGUUUGUGUAUUUCAGAAGCUCUGUGUUUCAGCUUCUCUUCCCCUGGUACACUGAGCUCCUGCCCCAAGCUCAGGCCGCCUGUGCAUGACAGGUAUGAGGCCAGCAUUCUGUGAUUCACCUGGAAAACACAAGUCCCCACUUCUUCCUCAUUUCUGUGCCUCUCUGGAGGGAACCCUGGCAGCCCUUGCCUCAGUUUCUGGGACAAUCCAGGCAGCUCUCCAUCACUGGAGAACACCAGAUGGAAUGGAUGGAGGCAAUUUUUCAGAAAGUACUUUAAGAGCGGCUUCCUCAGUGGUCUUUCCAGCUGGAAGCAGAGCGUCCAGAAAGCACCGCAUUCUCAGCGCUGUUUCAUUGCCUCAAGAGCUACAGAUGGCUUCCCCAAGCACCUGAAGUCGAUGCUGCUUGCCUGGAUGGAAUAAGCUGCAAGCUGCAGAAACUCUUGUCUUUUCACAGUGGAACUCAGACUCCAGUUUCUUUCUGCCUUGAGAGUGAAAGAAAGGAGAAGACACAGAGUAGGAAAGAGCCAGAAGGUGGAGAAAUUAAUGUUUAAUGCUUGAUACUCCCGGGGCCUGGCCAGCUGCUCAAAAAAAGGAAGGAGGUGAUGAAGAGAGAAAGAAAGGAUGGAAGGAAGGAGGAAGUGGACAAUGAGCCCAGAGCCCUCACCUGAGUUCCAAACAUUUAAGUCAAACUGCCAACUUCAUUCUCCAUUUGGACGAUUUCUCAACAUGUACAAAACCAAGUCCUGAUUUUUCCGUGACCCCAAAUCUGUUCUAUCUGAAGCCUCCCUAUCUCAGUUACUGAUCCUGGCUGAUGGAUGUAAUGAAGGCAUGAACUAUACUAGUUGAACAAGGAAAUGAACUUGAACCAAAUUGUGAAGUUCUCUGCAGUGAAAUAUUAAAGCUCUGCUGAAAGGACUUGGGAGUGAGCUGCCAGGCUACAGGGGAUUGAAUCGAAAGCCCCCUAAUGGUUAAAGUGUCCAUUAGCUUCUCUACACUUAGCAUCCAUCAGAGAGAAGACAGGCUGGGAGCCCCGGGCGAAUUUCUAACUAGCCUAAUGAGGAGAGAGAUUCUGGGAGCAAAAAAAGUUCAUUUGCUGAAUUUCCAGCAAGAAGUCACUUCAAUAUUGCUUCUAGGAAACACUGACAGGCUUUGUUGAUUAGCAAGCUAAACAGAGAAAAAGAUAACACUCAAGAAACUGCCUAUAUGUAAGAGAUUCCUUUGAGAACUUUCAAAUGGCUCCUUUCUACAAAAGACCUGAGAAUACUUAACCCCCCACCACUAGCACACUCAAAGCUCAAGGCAAAUGCAUUUUCAAGAUUGACAGGGUCUUGGACUCUGAAAGUCUUUGGACCCAAGAAAAAUCGUGUUAUCUAAGAGAGCAGUUAUUCUGACACAGACUGAUAUCAGGUGCCUGUGGCAUGAAACACGGAAGAGAAUAAUAGCAUCUACCUUAUAAGAAGACAUACUAUAUUCUGGACCACAUAUCUGAUAAUUCUUACAGCCCUUUAAAGAUAAUCAUAACUAGAAUAUUAUCUUAUUUUGUAGCUCAUAGAUGUCAAAAGACUAGCUCAUAAUUUUAUUGCGGAUACAUAGCAGAACCAAGAUUUGAACUCAGACCUGUCUCAUUCCACAACUCAUUUUCCUUGAAGUCAAUAGAUGCCACUGAUCUCUAAAUACCUACAAAAGGGGCUCGGAGGUGGAGAGGGGAUGUCUGAGGAGCCUUAGGACUACCACCCAAUGUUCUGUCUUUAGAUAGAGAUGCUAUCACCAAUCUCUCUUUCACACAUACUCCUCCUCUUCUCAUUUCUGUUCGUGUACUUGGUUCUCAGUGUAAGAUUUUGUUAGAAGAAAGAGGCAUGUUGGUAAAAUAAGAAAUAAUAUAUCAAAAAUAAAAUAAAAUUGUUUGAAAGUCU
RNAcentral lists this long non-coding RNA (2187 nucleotides) under Homo sapiens (human). RNAcentral's name for it is "HSALNT0028623". The record is from RNAcentral. Lineage: Eukaryota; Metazoa; Chordata; Mammalia; Primates; Hominidae.